CCUCUUUUCUCAAGGAGAAGAUCUGACGUUACUUGAGGAAUAAGCAUCGGCUAACCCUGUGCCAGCAGCCGCGGUAAUACAGGGGAUGCAAGUGUUAUCCGGAAUUAUUGGGCGUAAAGCGUCUGCAGGUUGAUAUUUAAGUCUUUUGUUAAACCUCCGGGCUCAACCCGGAAUCUGCAAAGGAAACUAUCUAUCUUGAGUAUGGUAGGGGUAAAGGGAAUUUCCAGUGGAGCGGUGAAAUGCGUAGAUAUUGGAAAGAACACCAACAGCGAAGGCACUUUACUGGGCCAGUACUGACACUCAGAGACGAAAGCUAGGGGAGCAAACAGGAUUAGAUACCCUGGUAGUCCUAGCUGUAAACGAUGGAUACUAGAUGUUGUGUACCUUAGGGUAGGCAGUGUCGUAGCUAACGCGUUAAGUAUCCCGCCUGGGAAGUAUGCUCGCAAGAGUGAAACUCAAAUGAAUUGACGGG
Molecule: ribosomal RNA, 472 nt
Filed under: uncultured bacterium
Lineage: Bacteria
Description: bacterial SSU rRNA
Rfam family: Bacterial small subunit ribosomal RNA
Source: RNAcentral